This is a long non-coding RNA of Salvia miltiorrhiza (redroot sage), 924 nucleotides long. RefSeq lists it as uncharacterized. The transcript has 2 exons. The record is from RefSeq and is a predicted model, not a curated record. NCBI's taxonomy places the organism in Eukaryota, Viridiplantae, Streptophyta, Magnoliopsida, Lamiales, Lamiaceae.
AUACAGAAUAAGGAUUUUAUUCAUCACAUUCAUCUAGCACCUACACAUUUCCACAUCCAUCUUACUCUUAAAUAAAUUGAUGGUGUUGGAAACACUCAUCAUAUGCCAACCAUCCCACUAAACACUCAUCAUAUGCCAACUAUCCCACUAAACACUCAUCAUUUCACUAAACACUCAUUAUUCCACACACUCAUCAUUCCACUAAACACUCUUUACACCUUCUUUUGCCAGCCAUCUUCUACACUUUAACAUCUCAACAUGCAAUUAGCUUUUAUUUAAUCAAAAUCAGCAACCAACAUUCCUCCCAUUCCUCCUAACAUUCUGAUCCAAGCUAUUCUUAUGCUUGAAUUAUAAUUCACUGAUUCCAGCUUUCCAAAUCAGUUUCCAAGAUUUCCCAAAACAAGAAAGAGAUCCAAUUUUGGUGAAUUCAGAAAGAAGAUUUUCCUCAUUUCCUACUCAUAUCAAGGUUACCUCCUACUUUACUUUCUCCAUACAUUCAUUUGUUAAAUUACAAAACUAUGAUUCAAAUGAAAACAGAUCGAACACACGCAUCCAUUACCACUUCUUUUAGACUAUUAUUGUUUCAAUUACAUCAGCUUAUUACCAUCAGAGAACCACCAACAGAAUAAUACACACGCACACAUUUUACUAUAUUUCUAUCUAUUACAAGUACAGAUCAGUUUUUGUAAAUAGAAAUGAAUGAAAAUGAACAGAAUUGAAACCCUAAGUGCUCUAUGUGUGUUUUGUGCGUGUGACUGAAAUUUGGAGAGUUCCUUGUGUUUUGCUUGCGUGUGUGUUGUUCGAAUCGUGAGAGGGGAAGGAGGGAGCAGCAGGCGGCUGUUCGGCGCCGGCAACGGCGGCGCGGCGGCAACUGCCGUCCAGUCCUUGUCCUGCCAAAACGAGAGAGAAGAGGGUAGAGAGAGA